GGGGAAUAUUGCACAAUGGGGGAAACCCUGAUGCAGCGACGCCGCGUGGAGGAAGAAGGUCUUCGGAUUGUAAACUCCUGUUGUUGAGGAAGAUAAUGACGGUACUCAACAAGGAAGUGACGGCUAACUACGUGCCAGCAGCCGCGGUAAAACGUAGGUCACAAGCGUUGUCCGGAAUUACUGGGUGUAAAGGGAGCGCAGGCGGGAAGACAAGUUGGAAGUGAAAUCUAUGGGCUCAACCCAUAAACUGCUUUCAAAACUGUUUUUCUUGAGUAGUGCAGAGGUAGGCGGAAUUCCCGGUGUAGCGGUGGAAUGCGUAGAUAUCGGGAGGAACACCAGUGGCGAAGGCGGCCUACUGGGCACCAACUGACGCUGAGGCUCGAAAGUGUGGGUAGCAAACAGGAUUAGAUACCCUGGUAGUCCACACCGUAAACGAUGAUUACUAGGUGUUGGAGGAUUGACCCCUUCAGUGCCGCAGUUAACACAAUAAGUAAUCCACCUGGGGAGUACGACCGCAAGGUUGAAACUCAAAGGAAUUGACGGGGGCCCGCACAAGCAGUGGAGUAUGUGGUUUAAUUCGACGCAACGCGAAGAACCUUACCAAGUCUUGACAUCCUGCGACGAUGCUAGAAAUAGUAUUUUCCUUCGGGACGCAGAGACAGGUGGUGCAUGGUUGUCGUCAGCUCGUGUCGUGAGAUGUUGGGUUAAGUCCCGCAACGAGCGCAACCCUUAUGGUCAGUUACUACGCAAGAGGACUCUGGCCAGACUGCCGUUGACAAAACGGAGGAAGGUGGGGAUGACGUCAAAUCAUCAUGCCCUUUAUGACUUGGGCUACACACGUACUACAAUGGCGUUAAACAAAGAGAAGCAAGACCGCGAGGUGGAGCAAAACUCAGAAACAACGUCCCAGUUCGGACUGCAGGCUGCAACUCGCCUGCACGAAGUCGGAAUUGCUAGUAAUCGCAGAUCAGCAUGCUGCGGUGAAUACGUUCCCG
This 995-nucleotide ribosomal RNA is filed under the name uncultured bacterium. Its description in RNAcentral is "bacterial SSU rRNA". It matches the Rfam family "Bacterial small subunit ribosomal RNA", at positions 356 to 1376 of the family's 1533-position model. The record is from RNAcentral.